GGGUUGUGAGGUUAAGCGACUAAGCGUACACGGUGGAUGCCCUGGCAGUCAGAGGCGAUGAAGGACGUGCUAAUCUGCGAUAAGCGUCGGUAAGGUGAUAUGAACCGUUAUAACCGGCGAUUUCCGAAUGGGGAAACCCAGUGUGUUUCGACACACUAUCAUUAACUGAAUCCAUAGGUUAAUGAGGCGAACCGGGGGAACUGAAACAUCUAAGUACCCCGAGGAAAAGAAAUCAACCGAGAUUCCCCCAGUAGCGGCGAGCGAACGGGGAGCAGCCCAGAGCCUGAAUCAGUGUGUGUGUUAGUGGAAGCGUCUGGAAAGGCGCGCGAUACAGGGUGACAGCCCCGUACACAAAAAUGCACAUGCUGUGAGCUCGAUGAGUAGGGCGGGACACGUGGUAUCCUGUCUGAAUAUGGGGGGACCAUCCUCCAAGGCUAAAUACUCCUGACUGACCGAUAGUGAACCAGUACCGUGAGGGAAAGGCGAAAAGAACCCCGGCGAGGGGAGUGAAAAAGAACCUGAAACCGUGUACGUACAAGCAGUGGGAGCACGCUUAGGCGUGUGACUGCGUACCUUUUGUAUAAUGGGUCAGCGACUUAUAUUCUGUAGCAAGGUUAACCGAAUAGGGGAGCCGAAGGGAAACCGAGUCUUAACUGGGCGUUAAGUUGCAGGGUAUAGACCCGAAACCCGGUGAUCUAGCCAUGGGCAGGUUGAAGGUUGGGUAACACUAACUGGAGGACCGAACCGACUAAUGUUGAAAAAUUAGCGGAUGACUUGUGGCUGGGGGUGAAAGGCCAAUCAAACCGGGAGAUAGCUGGUUCUCCCCGAAAGCUAUUUAGGUAGCGCCUCGUGAAUUCAUCUCCGGGGGUAGAGCACUGUUUCGGCAAGGGGGUCAUCCCGACUUACCAACCCGAUGCAAACUGCGAAUACCGGAGAAUGUUAUCACGGGAGACACACGGCGGGUGCUAACGUCCGUCGUGAAGAGGGAAACAACCCAGACCGCCAGCUAAGGUCCCAAAGUCAUGGUUAAGUGGGAAACGAUGUGGGAAGGCCCAGACAGCCAGGAUGUUGGCUUAGAAGCAGCCAUCAUUUAAAGAAAGCGUAAUAGCUCACUGGUCGAGUCGGCCUGCGCGGAAGAUGUAACGGGGCUAAACCAUGCACCGAAGCUGCGGCAGCGACGCUGAUGCGUUGUUGGGUAGGGGAGCGUUCUGUAAGCCUGCGAAGGUGUGCUGUGAGGCAUGCUGGAGGUAUCAGAAGUGCGAAUGCUGACAUAAGUAACGAUAAAGCGGGUGAAAAGCCCGCUCGCCGGAAGACCAAGGGUUCCUGUCCAACGUUAAUCGGGGCAGGGUGAGUCGACCCCUAAGGCGAGGCCGAAAGGCGUAGUCGAUGGGAAACAGGUUAAUAUUCCUGUACUUGGUGUUACUGCGAAGGGGGGACGGAGAAGGCUAUGUUGGCCGGGCGACGGUUGUCCCGGUUUAAGCGUGUAGGCUGGUUUUCCAGGCAAAUCCGGAAAAUCAAGGCUGAGGCGUGAUGACGAGGCACUACGGUGCUGAAGCAACAAAUGCCCUGCUUCCAGGAAAAGCCUCUAAGCAUCAGGUAACAUCAAAUCGUACCCCAAACCGACACAGGUGGUCAGGUAGAGAAUACCAAGGCGCUUGAGAGAACUCGGGUGAAGGAACUAGGCAAAAUGGUGCCGUAACUUCGGGAGAAGGCACGCUGAUAUGUAGGUGAGGUCCCUCGCGGAUGGAGCUGAAAUCAGUCGAAGAUACCAGCUGGCUGCAACUGUUUAUUAAAAACACAGCACUGUGCAAACACGAAAGUGGACGUAUACGGUGUGACGCCUGCCCGGUGCCGGAAGGUUAAUUGAUGGGGUUAGCGCAAGCGAAGCUCUUGAUCGAAGCCCCGGUAAACGGCGGCCGUAACUAUAACGGUCCUAAGGUAGCGAAAUUCCUUGUCGGGUAAGUUCCGACCUGCACGAAUGGCGUAAUGAUGGCCAGGCUGUCUCCACCCGAGACUCAGUGAAAUUGAACUCGCUGUGAAGAUGCAGUGUACCCGCGGCAAGACGGAAAGACCCCGUGAACCUUUACUAUAGCUUGACACUGAACAUUGAGCCUUGAUGUGUAGGAUAGGUGGGAGGCUUAGAAGUGUGGACGCCAGUCUGCAUGGAGCCGACCUUGAAAUACCACCCUUUAAUGUUUGAUGUUCUAACGUGGACCCGUAAUCCGGGUUGCGGACAGUGUCUGGUGGGUAGUUUGACUGGGGCGGUCUCCUCCUAAAGAGUAACGGAGGAGCACGAAGGUUGGCUAAUCCUGGUCGGACAUCAGGAGGUUAGUGCAAUGGCAUAAGCCAGCUUGACUGCGAGCGUGACGGCGCGAGCAGGUGCGAAAGCAGGUCAUAGUGAUCCGGUGGUUCUGAAUGGAAGGGCCAUCGCUCAACGGAUAAAAGGUACUCCGGGGAUAACAGGCUGAUACCGCCCAAGAGUUCAUAUCGACGGCGGUGUUUGGCACCUCGAUGUCGGCUCAUCACAUCCUGGGGCUGAAGUAGGUCCCAAGGGUAUGGCUGUUCGCCAUUUAAAGUGGUACGCGAGCUGGGUUUAGAACGUCGUGAGACAGUUCGGUCCCUAUCUGCCGUGGGCGCUGGAGAACUGAGGGGGGCUGCUCCUAGUACGAGAGGACCGGAGUGGACGCAUCACUGGUGUUCGGGUUGUCAUGCCAAUGGCACUGCCCGGUAGCUAAAUGCGGAAGAGAUAAGUGCUGAAAGCAUCUAAGCACGAAACUUGCCCCGAGAUGAGUUCUCCCUGACCCUUUAAGGGUCCUGAAGGAACGUUGAAGACGACGACGUUGAUAGGCCGGGUGUGUAAGCGCAGCGAUGCGUUGAGCUAACCGGUACUAAUGAACCGUGAGGCUUAACCUUACAACGCCGAAGGUGUUU
RNAcentral lists this ribosomal RNA (2931 nucleotides) under Escherichia coli. RNAcentral describes it as "23S ribosomal RNA". It matches the Rfam family "Bacterial large subunit ribosomal RNA". The record is from RNAcentral. Lineage: Bacteria; Pseudomonadati; Pseudomonadota; Gammaproteobacteria; Enterobacterales; Enterobacteriaceae.